This 225-nucleotide long non-coding RNA is filed under the name Setaria italica (foxtail millet). Its description in RNAcentral is "long non-coding RNA (SITA_LNC000588)". Lineage: Eukaryota; Viridiplantae; Streptophyta; Magnoliopsida; Poales; Poaceae. The record is from RNAcentral.
UCAUUUCAAAUAAAGAUACACCUGUUGCAAAGCUUUACUCCUGAUAGCAACGGUCUAAUUAUAUUUUUAACACCAACGCCGAGCUAAUCAUUUAAUAUUGAAAAAUAAUUUCAAAUCAUUUUAAGAAACAAAAUAUGAAAAAGAAAACAGAACUAGAAUCUCGGGAUUAUGUUCUCAUUUCGUUACAAAAUCUCUCAUUAUCUUGACGAUCUCAGCUAACCUUUG